RNAcentral lists this non-coding RNA (88 nucleotides) under bovine gut metagenome. RNAcentral's name for it is "Glycine riboswitch". It matches the Rfam family "Glycine riboswitch aptamer", at positions 9 to 86 of the family's 94-position model. From Rfam's summary of the family: This family represents the bacterial glycine riboswitch. The record is from RNAcentral.
CGAAGCUCCGGAAAGUGGGGGGUCUGCCCUCACGCCGAAGGUGCAACCGGCGAUCAGCGCCGGGAAUCUCUCAGGCAAGAAACGGAGG